GUGCUCCUCUCCUUGAGGCAUUCCAUUGCUUCCCUUUACCCCCACAGUUUAUGGAGAGAUGAGAUGAGCAAACACCAAAGGAAAAGCGCCUUGGGAGACACUGCAUCCUUCUCCUUGCACGACUUGUCUAAGUCAUGCAUUUCUUUCCUCCCGCCUUCUGCAUUCUGCCCUGGUGCUGACGGUCCUUCCAAAAGGAAGAAAUCUUCCCAGGUAUUGGCUGUGUCCUAAAUAGCUGAGAACUGAAACUAUCUAAGUGAAAGGCUUAGUAGACAUUAAUCAAACCAAAAAGAGACAGAUAAUUAUGAUAUACAAAGAGAAGGAUUUAAAAAUAGUGUAUGAAAGAAGAGAAAUCUACAAGGAAGAAAUUCUAAAAGAAACAAUUCUGAAAGGAAUUCACCAGGUGGAUUCUGCAAGUUCUUUUUUUUUUAACAGAGUCUUGCUCUAUGUGUAAGUUUUAAUCUUCACACUGAGAUGUCUACUAAUUGCACCAUCAUGUACCAACAGUGACCCUGACUUUGAGUCUUAUUCUGGCCAUUCAAUAUAGAGGAGUGAGUGAACCUCUGAAUAAACCAGGGGUAGGGGAAUGAAAAAAAUUAUAAAUAGAUAACCUGCGGAUGGGAAAAACAGUGAUUGGAACAAUGGAAAUAUUGAUUGGGAACAGCAGAGAGUCACUAAAGUACAGUCACAUACUUAUAUCUCAUUCAUUCAUUCAUUCAUUCAUUCAUUCAAUGCUGAGUGGAUUUGGAUAAAUGUUUACUGAAGACACACCCUGUGCCUGUCUUCCCUGUGCCUGGCAGUGAAAAUGCUCAUGAAAUGAUUCCUUCUGUGCUCUUGAGGAGUGUCCAGUCUAGUGAGAGGGACAGCUGAAAACUAAGUGAUAGCAUAGUGUCACAUGCGAAGUGAUGGCUUGAAUAAAAGUACUUAUUUCAGCACCAGGAGGUGAAGAAAUGCUUUCCUGAAAAAGUCACUCUAAUCUGAGAAUUGACAGUACCCAGUUAGGUAAAACAAAAACAAACUGGUGAAAGUGUACCAGGCCAGAGGAGGAGGACAGUGUGUAGACCAGAGGACACCAAGGCCCAGAGGAAGGGCAGAAACUGACCCAUCCGGAAGACAAGCACGGUUGGAGCCCAGGAUUCCAGGCGGCGACUGCAUUUGAUGAAGUUAAAGAGUGGUGCAAGGCUUAGAUUUUGACUUGCGGCAGACAGAAAUCUUUGAAUUGAUUGGCGUUUUUAGAAGAAUCACUUGGGAUUAGCUGGGGUAGAGAUUGGAAGAAGCGGACCAGUGACCAGAGACUAUCCAAGGGUAUAGGUUGUCUCCCCACAGAACAGCAGCCGCUGCCACUGCAGAGUGCCACAGAAUGGACCAAAGACAAAGGCCAAGGUGGAGGAUAAAAUCGUCUCCACCCCUGCUUGCCUGGGGCCUCAGCUGAGCAUCAUUGUUGGAAUAACUCAACCAAUGUUGAUGUGAUACCACUGGCAGCUCUUCCUUGGGUCUGAAAAAUCUGUGGCAAACAAGCUUCCUAACACGAACUUAUCUCCUCAGUGCUCACGGUUAAAACAAGUUUUCCCAAAAAAUUAAUGAGUAUUUCCAUAAGGGAUGAAAAUAUUUUAAAAACUUGAAUCACACUUCAAGACAAAAGCCUGAAGAUGGAGCUUUGAGUCCUGACUCCCUGCCUGAGGUUCUCAUCUGUGGAAUGUUCCAGCAGUUGCAUCCAUCUUCCUGUUUUCUGUAUGGUUGCUUGUCCCCUAAGUGAACACAUUUACCUCUUCUACAGAAAGUCCUGGAUUGAAAGAAGCUGUUUUGGGGGACCUGAGCUGUCACCACUUGUUUCCUCAGAGAGAUUUGGCAGAAGGGGUGGCUGUGUAGCCCUGUCCUCCCCCUGCUCCUCAGCAAAACCUUCUGGGAGAGGCUUUCCCCAGGGAAGGAGGAGGAAUGCUCUUCCCGCGAGGGUGGCAAACGGCAGCCGAGCCUCCUGGUUAGAGCUUCCAACAAACUCUCAGUGCCCAACUGUGGGGGAUUUCUUCAAGGCAAAACAGAAACAGUUAAUUCAGAAAUCUCUGUGCUUUUAUGCUGAUUUUGUUACUUAAGUUGCUUUAAUACCUGUAUGAAAGCAGAAUAUAAAAUUAGCAAAUGGACUUUUCUAAAUCAUUUCAUUUUCUUUCAAAAAUAACUUAAAAAAUUUUUUUUUUACCUGAAGUGAUCAACAUUGUACGUUCUGAAAGUGUAAAGGGACUGAAAAGACAGGCUGAAAAAUAAAGUAAGAAGAAGAUUGUACAACAUUUCUAGCUGCCUUUUUUUCCUUUGAUAAGGGAACCCAUGCAGUCAGCUAAGAGCUGCCACCAAGAUCAAGGCCCUGCAGGGCACCGAUGAGCAGGAUCACCGGGAGCGCUGUGUUUACAGGGAUUUCAUUUUUCAUUUUGAAGGGUUGCCACGUCACUUUCCCAAGUUUUGCGGGGCAGAGUGAGGCUUCAUCAAGACAUGCAUCCAUGGACUGGGCGAAAUUCCAGUGUCCAUUAUUUCCUGGGGAAAGCGUGUAAGAGGCUCUCUCUAUCGCUCUUCUUACUUCUGCAUCCCCCAGAACACACAUACACAGUCACAGUCACACAUGUUUGCACCAAACACGGCCUCACUCUCACAAGACACUCACGAAGGUACGUUGACAGUCUCACAGGGUCACAAACAUGCACUAGAAAUCUGACACACACACACACACAUCCAAUCUCUCUCUGACACACACACACUAUCUCACACACACAUGCUCCUCUGCUCUGCUGAGUCAUCAGUCUUGGAUCUCAGCCUCAGCACGUGUGGGGCCUGCCCUGUGGGAGGCUGUUGAACACAGAGGGAAGCUGAGGUUGCACUGUCCACCUCCUCAUUACCAUAAUGAUUGCGUUCAGCAUCCUUCAUCAGCACAGGAGCACUAAGGGUUGGAGAGGACGUGCAUCACCUUUACUCGCACAGCUGCUCACAUCGGGCACUUGAGACGUGUAUUUGCUGGGACACUUGGGAGUGAAAUGGCUUGUGGAAUUUAGUCUCGUGUCAGUCUUCAGCUUUAAGUUUCAAGCGAUCCUGCUCUGGGAAUAAAUAUUGAGUACGACGUAGAAAACAGCUUUUCUUCAAGGACCUCUGAAAGCCAUGUAAGCACCAUUCUUUGAUAAACAUUCUCAUCCCAACUGAUGGAGGGAAAAGCCAGGAACAGGGUCCCAGGGAGGCCAAAGGGGUUCCCGACUGGGAAUGAGAAGCCAUCCCUUCAGGACUCUGCUGUGCCCCGACAGCAGGCACAGGAGGCGUGGUCCCUGCCUUUCCCCCACCUCACCUGCCCUUUCCCGCUGGAGUAAAUGGGAAGAGAGCUCUGCUCAAGCCUCAGCCUCCAGGACUCUCCAUCAUACCAGCUGCCUCAGGCAAAUUAAGCACAGCAAAUGCUGCUCUGUUCAGGGCUCCUCCCUGUUUAUUGCAAGACGGUGGUUCUCAAACCUGACCUUCUGGGACACUUAACGAUUACCCUUGACUUUUGAAUCUCUCCAUGAUAUCUGAUAACAGUCGAGUGUGGAUUUCUUGGUGAAGUGAGGUCUCUCCCUCCACCUUUGCCCAUGGAAUUGAGUGACGGUCACCCCUCAUUGACUCUGCGGAGAGCUGGUGCCUCCUACAGCAGAACAAGCAGGAAAUAGCGCAGCAGAGAGCAUCUUACAAGCCAGAGGGGCAGCAGAGGCAGCACGGGGCAGAGCUGGGCGGUGAGGAAACUGAGCAUCAGCUGCUGGAGCAGCUGCCGUGAGGGAACUGGCUGGGUUUAUCUCAAGAGGCUGUGCUGCUGGGGCCGACCAUUGGUGGGAGGUCCCAUGCUCACCGGGACAUAAGGCCGCCUGUGCACGAACCGUGUGGCAGCUGGCGUCCUUUGUUUCAACAAACAGAACUGCAUUUCCAACUAAAAAACCCAAGUGUGAAAUUUGUAGACACCGUGUAUCAGAGGGAAGAACUUGAGAAGAUUAACUAAACUUCUGGAACCUCAACCGCUCUCCCUUGUGCACCUCACGCCUCGAUGAGAUGAUGAAAUGUGAUACCGCGCAUAUCGAUGGUGGGAAAAAUGUUACGUGUCAUUCAGAGCAUUUGUCAGACGUUUAUUAAAGUCUCGUUUCAGGUUUGGAGGGUACUAUUUAGAAGUCUUAAUUUCCGAAUUGGAUCCUAUAAUUAUCUCAGGGUUUAAUAACACGUCAAAAGCAUAGCAGAGAAGGGAAAAAGAGUAUAAUUUUGCCUGCUCAUAUGAGGAACUAUUUAUUGAUUUCCCUUGGGGUCCUGAGCAGAAGGAGCUGUGUUAAGAAAUACUUUGGCUCGAAGUACCCAGCUGUGUAAGUGGUUUUGGGUGUGGACUCUUACGGCCAUGGUCCUAAAUGAUUCAAAUUGUAAGGUGGCAGGCAGAAGUCACACUUUUCUGAUAAAUGUUAAACUUAGUUACCUUCAUUAUAUCAACAUCAUCAAAAUCAAUUGUGUGUCUGUUUGUUUAUUGUGGUGGAGGCUGCUCUAGAGCUGCAGCCACAUCAUGGGAUCUCUGCUACCCCAGCUCUCCCGCACAUUCCAGGCUUAGAGACACAUGGAAUAAGUGAAUGAUGAACAAGUGAAAUCAGCAACAUUCAGCCCAAUCAUGAUCAACUGGUCUCUCAUCUGAAAGCCGCAAAGGUCAGAGAUCUGCUGGUCUAAACCCUGUUUUGUUGUGAGGAUGACAUCCCAGUGGAUGGAUUUACCAGCCAAGGCCAUCACUUUACUGAGUGUCUAGAAACCGCAUCUGGAGGCCCCUAGGGCAGUGCUGUGUCCCCCUUUCACCCACUACACCCUUCUGUGAAUCCUGGCAACCUUCAAAAAUGUACCUGAGGUGAAAUAAUGAGACAAAGGGCCUUAGUUCUAAAGCAAUCAGAAGCAGUGAGUUUGUGUGUUCUGAUCACCUCUCCCUGGCGCUGUGAACAGUCCCCGUUCUUACAGCACGAGUGCCCUGCUAGCCUUAGAUUUCCUCCUGAGGCUGCUGGGCCUGAGCUGGAUGUGGGGUUUUGUCCGAAUGUGCCAUCCCAGUCAGGUGCUUGAUGCUUGAUGCUCUGGCUAAGGAAUGAAGGUGUUAGGACCCUGAAGGGAAGUUGGGACCCCAGUACAUCCUUCCCUGGAGGUGACAUAAAGUGUCCUCUUCACUGAGCACAGACAGGACUUCUGUAAAAAGAGAAGUGAGCCCCAUGAGCUCUGUAAAAAGAGAAGUGAGCUGCCCGCCCUGCCUUCUCGGCUUUCCUUUGUCUUUCAGAUGGAGAUGCGCUGACCUGCCCCAAUACCUAUUGUUGUUUGUUAAAUUACUCCAAGAUAGUUAUAGUCAAUGGCAAACACCCACUUAGAAGCACAAAUCAUGUCAGAUGUUCAGGACCAGCACAAACAAUCAAUCAAGUAAACAGCACCUUCCUUGAAUAUGUGGCAGGUGUGUGAGGAUUUUAUGAACCUGUUCUGCAUUUCCAAAUCCACCCUGAGGCUUCUCCCAGGACACAGUCCUGUGGAUCAGCCUGUACUCGGGCGGUUUUACCUUCUGUGUCUCUCUGUCACAGUAGUCUUGUCCUAGUGCUCAUCACUGCACGUUCCCAGCUCCAGCAAGUGGCCAGGCUUUUCCCUCCACAGCCAAAGGCCCGAUGGCCCAGCCCCCAGGUGGCUGGUGGCCCUUCCAUGGCUGAGGUCACACACCCAGCAUCGCAUCCUGCCCUUCUCGGGGCCUUGGGCCCCUUCGGCUCUUCUCCAGGGAUUGCACUUGCUCCUGCUGCCCACGGCGGUUUCCUUCCUGUGAUUCCACUCGGAGGGGGCAGUUUUCUUUCCUGGCUUCAACCAUCACAGAGCUGCUUUGUGUUCACCGGCAGCUGCCACGCUUCCCUGAAAAGGCAGCUUCCGUUCUGCUGGAGAUGAACUGAUUUGCCUGGCAGCCAACUUAAACAAGGAGACUUGUCAGAAGUUGAUGUGCAGCAGAGAGUAGCAACUCUGACAAUAAAAGGGGUGAAUAAAUUAUUAUCCUUUAACCUCAAUCUCAGUAUCAGGCUGACAAAGAUGAACGACUACAAUCAAUUCUAUAACUGCAAACUCAGACCUAUUAAAUAAAAGUUCAUUUCUGCUUCUCAAUCUUGGAGGCUAUUGUGGGCCUCACUAAAAAUCGACAAGUGAAAAAUUCUGAAAUAAAUGAGACUUAAUAACACAACUUAGAAACCAGUGCUCUUAUAAUCAAAUGGAUAACUUAAUUUAUUAUAUACCAUUAAAAUAUUUCAAAAUAGAAUCAAAUCAUGACACAAACCCAAAGUGAAAAAAGCAUUUUAUUUUCAUACAAAUUUUAUCACACAGUUUUAUUUGUCUUGGACAUUGCACAUCAAGUCCUCUUAUUCAUUUUUAUUUUAAUCAGACAAGAUUUUUCAGAACCUUGCCUACUUUUGAAACAACGUCAUUCAAAGUAGAUGUUAGUGGUCCAGUUUACACUUUAGAUCAUGUACAGACAAAAUAAGAAUGAACGUUGAACACAGGAUGUGGAAGGGGCGCAAGUUAGUGUCUACAUUUAGAACCUCCAGUAGUUCUUACAAACAUAAGCUUAAUUUUACAGUACAGGAGGGCUCAAAGAUCUGUACCAUUGCCACAUGGUGGGGCCUGUAUGCCCCUGUGAUGGCUGAAAGUUGAUCUUGUGCCUCAAUUACACAAUGAUUGGUUCCACCAUGUAAUGAGAAAAUCUCAACGGGCUACUAGUUAACUACCAAGCCUUGUUAUUUUCGGAGUAUCUUGCAUCUUUCCAGCAGUAGCUUAUUUAGGGGAGGCAGGUAGGAAAUGUCCUCCCACUUAGGAAGCUUCAGAACAUGUUACAGUAGGUAAUUAGGCAAACAUGAGCAGGGCAGAAGAGGGCCCCACACCAGUAUUGUCAGGAGACCAUCCAGUGAUGGUCAGGUGGUUGUUAAACUGUCUCUUUAAAAUAAUAAUUGGUUGUAGUUGGCACCAGGGAGAGGCAGUCUCCUAACAGAUAGAAAAGCCUGAAACUGGUGAUCAGCAGCUUCCUAAUAAUAUCUCAGGAGUUGGAUGAGUGGGCUCAAGCAUACACACUGAGAGGCAAAAAUGGUGGCAUCUGACUGCUAUACGAUCUUCCUCUAGGAACAUUCAGCUGGCAAGGGAAAAUGCCUCAAGUGAGUAUGUUCACAACUCCAGUAAUCACACUGCGCAUGCGGCCCCUCCCAAGUGCUGGCAGGUCACUGCACAUACUGACAGCCUACUGCAAUGAAAGAAUCAGGGGAGAAUGGACACAAGACCCCGGAAGGAUGCCAAUGUAUGAAACCCCAAGUCAAAGCAACCUAUGUACUUGGAUCUCUCAAGUUGCCCACUUGGCCCUCUUCCAAGUGUACCUUACUUCCUUUUGUUCCUGCUCUAAAACCUUUUAAUAAACUUUCACUCCUGCUUUAAAACUUGCUUCAGUCUCUCCCUCUACCUCAUGUUCCUUGGUCAAAUUCUUUCUUCUGAGGAGGCGAGAAUUGAGGUUGCUGUAGACGCGUGUAGAUUCACCAGUGCUAACAAACACAGUUUACUGAACUGUUGCAGGUUCCACCCUCACUUCCGUGAAAGCAACGUGAGCCAAUUGUGACCCAUCAUGUCAGUAGUUUCAGUGGUGGGAUUGCAUGAAAAACACAAUGGUGAAACUCAUUCCUUUUAAAUGACAGUUCUGUACAAGUGUUCCUUCCUACUGAGAUUCCCAUGACGUUCGUCUCCAGGGUUGCGUUAGCAUUUCUCCAAGGAAGCUUGUCCCAGCCCUUUGAGUAGGAGCUGCACUGCAGGGCUGGAAUGAUGGGUUGGAAGGUCGCUCUCACUAAUAUGAGCUAUGGUGACUUCGUGCAAGUGAAUUGUGAACAGUAAUUCAGCUGAACUAAAUGGGAGCACUCAGGAAAACUUAAGGCAAAGGGGAAAAAGGAGUUAGAGUAGACAUGAGACUCACAAAGCUUACGUGGGAUUUCUUGAGAAAGAGCCUCCUCAGGUACUCAGUUGAUGGCCCAUGGCAAGACUGAAAUUAUUGCCAAGUUCGCUAGUGAGUGGGAUUUAAGAUAAUAAAAACUCCACAUUGCUAAAAGCCAAAAAGCCAAACUUUGUGCCAUGUUUUAUGUCAGAAAAUGUGCUUAUAGAAUGCCACAUAGGCCAAAGUUCACACUUAUUUUUUUUUCUCAAUUUGAAAAGGAAGUGGGGGUUACAACAAUGUCUCACAUAUCCCACUGUGUAUUUACAGUGGAGUUAGUUUUUCCAAGCCAGAAAAACAAGACCCCUCAGCUGUCAGAUAUCAAACUGGAUCAACAUUACCGAUGCAUUAGUAGAUAAUUCUCCGUAUUAGUUCUCAUGUUUCUAUUACGUAUAACUUACUUUUUAACCACAGCUUUGCUUUAAACUAUAAUUAAAAAGUCAACUGAAUCUCUGUGAAAACAAAUGGCUCCUGAGAUUUUGAAACUACCAGAAACUACCAGAAAUUUAAACAGCCUCAGGAGACAGCACCUACAGGAAUAAUGACAAGCCUGUAGAUUGCAUACCGAAAAUUACUUAGUUGUUAACUAAUUUAUGACUUGGAAUUUUGAUAAUAACUUUCAGCCAGUAGGGUCAUUGUGAAGACUUUAAAACUGCUGUGCAAGUCAGAAUGUGACUCAGCCACAGAGAACUGAGACUUUUUCAAUCUGAGGGCAUGGUGGGAGGUGGGUCCUUCCUAACUACCUUGUGGGGGUACAGGAAGAAAGAGAAAGAUCCCCACAGAGGCUGACUGUGUUGGCCUAAGUGUGGGGAUUUCCACCAAGCACCCUAGUGAUGCCCAUGCUGCUGGCCUAAGGACCUUGCUGUGGGCACCACAGGACUUGGGACUUCACCCCUCAGAGUGGGAAGCUUCUCUUCCUCAUCUGGCCUGUGCUGGAACCCACGGUGAACGGCUUCUUGGAGCAGAAUGUGCAACUCUGACAGAGAGUAAAUUCUUCCUCAUGUUAAACUGAGGAUUGCGCAACCCCUGAUAUGGCAGUCUUGCUGAUACAACUUGCUGCAAAGAGACACCCACACUUUUCCCAGGGCUGAGAAGACAAGCAGUUGAUGAUCUAUAUUGUGGCUGUACUUGUGAACCUGGGAGCUGACAGGCAGGAUCACUGAACCCCUCCCUCAAAUCUGAGGAAGUCUAAGGGCUAUGAUCCCUGUGGUCAGCUGGCCGAGGCAUUCUCCCUAGAAACAGGCCUCUGCAUGGAUUCAAGUUCACUGAUUUGCUGAAGAGUUGUUAGGAUUCUGUCCAGGAGGGACAGACAUUCCACCCUCACUCUCAUCAACCCCCAAAACGUGUAGGUUUGGAUAAAUCCCAGGGAUCAUCCUCAAUUGGCUCAUUUAAAGAUAGAGAAGUCUGGGCACAGUGGUUCACGCCUGUAAUCCUAGCACUUUGGGAGGCCGAGGCAGGUGGAUCACAAGGUCAGGAGUUCGAGACCAGCCUGACUAACAUGGUGAAACCCCGUGUCUACUAAAAAUACAAAAAUUAGCUGGGCAUGGUGGCACGCACCUGUAACCCCAUCUACUCAGGAGGCUGAGGCAGGAGAAUCACUUGAACCUAGGAGAUGGAGGUUGCAGCAAGACGAGAUUGCGCCACUGCACUCCAGCCUGGGUGACACAGCGAGACUCUGUCUCAGAAAAAAAAAAAAAAAAAGAUGGGGAAGCAGAGGCUUUUGGAGAGGAAGAAACUCCCUUGGGAUUCACAUGUUGCGAUUGAGGUUGCACCAAGACCAGUGUCAAGCGUGUGGCACCUUUUCCUUCACAAUACACGACCUGAGACACUAAAGUUGACAGUAUAUUCUGGAUUCAGUUAGAUGCCUUUAGCUCAUCACAGAAACCUUAAAACAGUGCUUUUAAAAAUAAAUUACCAUGCAAGGAAAAACUGGAUUCUUGUAAAACAGUAAGUACUAUCUAUGUAUACAGGCUUAAGAAUAAAAACAGAUGUGUCAAGAAACGAAGUAAAUCACCCACAGUCUGAUCAUAGUAAGACAAUCCUGUCUUGUUGCAGACUAAAAGUUUGUGUCCCCCAAAACUCAUAUGUUGAAAUCGAGUCCCCCAUGUGAUCAUACUUGGAGGUGGGGCCUUUGGGAGGUAAUUAGGUCAUGAGAGUGGAGCCUCAUAAGUGGAUGAGUGCCCUUACGAAAAGAGGACCUGGAGCCAGCUCACUUUCUCACUGCCAUGUGGGGCACAAGAGGGGCUUCACCAGAAGCUGACCACGCUGGCACUCUGAUCUCAGACUUCCAGUCUCCGGAACUGCGAGAAAUAAAUGUUUGCUGUUUACCAGUCGGUGAUAAUUUUCCCAGCAGCUAGGGUUGACUGAGACAUGGCUGGAAAAGAGGCCAAGCAUCAUCAUGGCCAAACUUCUUCUCUUCUUAGAGCCAACACUUCCUCAGGGGGCACUUAACACCCCUGUCCCAUCACACUCCACUUACUGAAGCAAAUUCUCCCACCUGAUCACAUACAGACGGGCCAGCUCUGAGGAGACAUGCAAUCUCCUUGUGAAACUCAUCACUCUUGAAGCGUGAUAUGAAGCAAUGUCCUUAUAGUGCUCACCUAAAUGGAUAAAUGGCACCAGUCUUCUGAUGGGAAAAUCCACAGGAAAAGUUCAAGUCUUGACCCUAAUUACAGAAGAAAUGAGCUCACUGCAGUCAUGAAACUCUGAGUCUAGAAGUGUCAUUUCCACACCGAGCCAGGCAGUUUCUUUAUUCCCUGAACCAUAUGUUUAUUUCUUAGCUGAACUAUUCUGUGAGUGGUUGUCAAGAACUAAGAUUUGUUAAAUUUGUUUAUUUUUGCUUUUCUCUCAGCUCAAAAUUAGAAACAUAUGUUCAUCACCUCCACAUAUGAGUAGUUCAGCAUGAACUGUUUUUCUCAUUUUAUUCCGAGCAGAUUAGUCAAAAUAGUUCUCAUUUCAAUGUUGACCUGAAAAAAGUAAGACAUGCUUGACUUAUUUUAUUAAUUGUGUUUCCUUUAUAAACUAGCAAAUGAACUUAAUUAACUGAAAUAUGGCCGUGCAUCUCAGUGACAUAAUGAGCGAUACUUUCAGGUGAGAGAUGCUAAAGGCAUCAUUAAGCCUGUGGAAGCAACAUGAAGAGACACAUCAGAGGCAUCAAGUCCCAUAGUUCAUGUCUGAAGUAGAGACUGCUAAUGGAAUCUGGGACUUUUCAUCUCCAGUGUUC
This 11204-nucleotide long non-coding RNA is filed under the name Homo sapiens (human). RNAcentral describes it as "HSALNT0084180". The record is from RNAcentral. Lineage: Eukaryota; Metazoa; Chordata; Mammalia; Primates; Hominidae.